Molecule: long non-coding RNA, 431 nt
Filed under: Vicia faba (fava bean)
Lineage: Eukaryota; Viridiplantae; Streptophyta; Magnoliopsida; Fabales; Fabaceae
Source: RNAcentral
UCAUCGAUUGUUAUCCCUAUUUCUCCGUCAUCGAUCAAAAUCGCGGCUUCCCCUUCAUCGAUCGAAAUUUCUACUUCUCUUUCACCGUUGGAAAUCUCUGCUUCAACGUUCUCUUCGUUGGAAAUCGCUGCUUCAACUUUCGAAUUAGUUACUUUACCAUUCGAAAUCGCUCACGGAUUUCUCAAAACCUAAUACUUGAGAUCCUUGUUGCGGAAUCUCUUUCCGAUCUUCGCUACGAGGAACUAGACGGAGUCAAGGGAGUGGUCACAAUCAACUUCACCCUUCACCUUUGCGAGGAGGAGUUGAAACAUAAAGUUUCGUUUAGAGAUGUUUAUACCCGUGUUCAUAAGAAAAAGAAAAAAUAUGGAGAAUACGUCUCUCAACGAUUGAGUAGGGAUGUAAAUGGAUAUCCAUGGGGAUGGAUAAUAUGA